Molecule: ribosomal RNA, 1117 nt
Filed under: Streptomyces tamarix
Lineage: Bacteria; Bacillati; Actinomycetota; Actinomycetes; Kitasatosporales; Streptomycetaceae
Description: partial 23S ribosomal RNA
Rfam family: Bacterial large subunit ribosomal RNA
Source: RNAcentral
CUGCUGAACACAUAGGCAGUGUGGAGGGAACGAGGGGAAGUGAAACAUCUCAGUACCCUCAGGAAGAGAAAACAACCGUGAUUCCGGGAGUAGUGGCGAGCGAAACUGGAUGAGGCUAAACCGUAUACGUGUGAGACCCGGCAGGGGUUGCGUGUACGGGGUUGUGGGAUCUCUUUUUCAUAGUCUGCCGGCUGUGAGACGAGUCAGAAACCGUUGAUGUAGGCGAAGGACAUGCGAAAGGUCCGGCGUAGAGGGUAAGACCCCCGUAGCUGAAACAUUGACGGCUCGUUUAAGAGACACCCAAGUAGCACGGGGCCCGAGAAAUCCCGUGUGAAUCUGGCGGGACCACCCGCUAAGCCUAAAUAUUCCCUGGUGACCGAUAGCGGAUAGUACCGUGAGGGAAUGGUGAAAAGUACCGCGGGAGCGGAGUGAAAUAGUACCUGAAACCGUGUGCCUACAAGCCGUGGGAGCGUCGGACAUCAAGCUUGCUUGGUGUCUCGUGACUGCGUGCCUUUUGAAGAAUGAGCCUGCGAGUUUGCGGUGUGUUGCGAGGUUAACCCGUGUGGGGAAGCCGUAGCGAAAGCGAGUCCGAAUAGGGCGGUUUAGUAGCGCGCUCAAGACCCGAAGCGGAGUGAUCUAGCCAUGGGCAGGUUGAAGCGGAGGUAAGACUUCGUGGAGGACCGAACCCACCAGGGUUGAAAACCUGGGGGAUGACCUGUGGUUAGGGGUGAAAGGCCAAUCAAACUCCGUGAUAGCUGGUUCUCCCCGAAAUGCAUUUAGGUGCAGCGUCGUGUGUUUCUUGCCGGAGGUAGAGCACUGGAUAGGCGAUGGGCCCUACCGGGUUACUGACCUUAGCCAAACUCCGAAUGCCGGUAAGUGAGAGCGCGGCAGUGAGACUGUGGGGGAUAAGCUCCAUGGUCGAGAGGGAAACAGCCCAGAGCAUCGACUAAGGCCCCUAAGCGUACGCUAAGUGGGAAAGGAUGUGGAGUCGCAGAGACAACCAGGAGGUUGGCUUAGAAGCAGCCACCCUUGAAAGAGUGCGUAAUAGCUCACUGGUCAAGUGAUUCCGCGCCGACAAUGUAGCGGGGCUCAAGCGUACCGCCGAAGUCGUGUCAUU